This 200-nucleotide ribosomal RNA is filed under the name uncultured Glomus. Its description in RNAcentral is "partial small subunit ribosomal RNA". It matches the Rfam family "Eukaryotic small subunit ribosomal RNA", at positions 591 to 796 of the family's 1831-position model. Lineage: Eukaryota; Fungi; Glomeromycota; Glomeromycetes; Glomerales; Glomeraceae. The record is from RNAcentral.
CCAAUAGCGUAUAUUAAAGUUGUUGCAGUUAAAAAGCUCGUAGUUGAAUUUCGGGAUCGACGGGUCGGUCGCGCCUCUGGUGUGUACUGGCCCUGUCGGUUUCUCCCUUCUGACGAACCACGAUGUCAUUAAUUUGGUGUCGUGGGAAAUCAGGACUGUUACUUUGAAAAAAUUAGAGUGUUUAAAGCAAGCAUUCGCUU